This 512-nucleotide ribosomal RNA is filed under the name Bacillus thuringiensis. RNAcentral's name for it is "bacterial SSU rRNA". It matches the Rfam family "Bacterial small subunit ribosomal RNA", at positions 1 to 495 of the family's 1533-position model. The record is from RNAcentral. Lineage: Bacteria; Bacillati; Bacillota; Bacilli; Caryophanales; Bacillaceae.
UUGUGAGUUUGAAACCUGGCUCAGGAUGAACGCUGGCGGCGUGCCUAAUACAUGCAAGUCGAGCGAAUGGAUUAAGAGCUUGCUCUUAUGAAGUUAGCGGCGGACGGGUGAGUAACACGUGGGUAACCUGCCCAUAAGACUGGGAUAACUCCGGGAAACCGGGGCUAAUACCGGAUAACAUUUUGAACUGCAUGGUUCGAAAUUGAAAGGCGGCUUCGGCUGUCACUUAUGGAUGGACCCGCGUCGCAUUAGCUAGUUGGUGAGGUAACGGCUCACCAAGGCAACGAUGCGUAGCCGACCUGAGAGGGUGAUCGGCCACACUGGGACUGAGACACGGCCCAGACUCCUACGGGAGGCAGCAGUAGGGAAUCUUCCGCAAUGGACGAAAGUCUGACGGAGCAACGCCGCGUGAGUGAUGAAGGCUUUCGGGUCGUAAAACUCUGUUGUUAGGGAAGAACAAGUGCUAGUUGAAUAAGCUGGCACCUUGACGGUACCUACCAGAAUACGACUCG